RNAcentral lists this ribosomal RNA (253 nucleotides) under uncultured bacterium. RNAcentral's name for it is "partial 16S ribosomal RNA". It matches the Rfam family "Bacterial small subunit ribosomal RNA", at positions 524 to 776 of the family's 1533-position model. The record is from RNAcentral.
UACGGAGGGGGCUAGCGUUGUUCGGAAUCAUUGGGCGUAAAGGGCGCGUAGGCGGCCGAUCAAGUCGGAGGUGAAAUCCCUCGGCUCAACUGAGGAAUUGCCUUCGAUACUGUUCGGCUUGAGUCCUGGAGAGGGUAGUGGAAUUCCCGGUGUAGCGGUGAAAUGCGUAGAGACCGGGAAGAACACCAGUGGCGAAGGCGGCUACCUGGACAGGUACUGACGCUGAAGCGCGAAAGCUAGGGGAGCAAACAGG